ACCCUCAGAAACAAGUAGAGUCCCUUUCCUACUCACCCCAGGUGCACCAUUUAUAUCUCACAACACCCAGCUGUGACUCCAGAACUUAUGCCCUUCACCUGGGAUGGUGGGUGGAGCCCAGGGGAGUCAAAAUCUUUUAAGGGAGAGUUCAAGCCAGAAAGAUCUAAGUUUUUUUUUCCUGUGAGUGGCUAGUGAGGGCUCUCUGGUGGUGGGAUGAUACUGAUUGUCAGCAGUUGAUAGUGUAGUUUCCAGCAAAGUCUCUCUCUUUUGCUGACUUCUAUUUAAUAGGCCUUGGGAUAUUUAAAAAAAAACACCAACCUUAGAUCUGGUGUAGAGGGCUUUGUUUUGACUUUCUGGUUAUAGCUUAGUAUUUUUGUUUUAGCUACAGUGGGGCUCUGAGGUGGGGCAUAUCUGCAGGAAAGGGUAUCAAGGACCUAGAAGCUGUUCCUGGUACCUUCUGUCAGAUGCUGUGAUUAGAGUGUUAGUCAUCAGAGGCUUGGGUUCAAGUCCCUCUUGUAUUUAGAGCAGGGUCUAAACUUUCUCUGUACUUCUAGGCUGAUGUGAGGAAGAAGGACUAUGGGACAAAGUACUGAAGGCUUUGAAAGCCUCAGAAGAGUGCUACUCCUCUUGUCAAAGCAGCUCUGAUAAAGGUGGCAAAAAGACUGACGAAGCAGUAGAUAACGAAGAAGACGGGUCAGCCCCUGGUGUGACCUGGACUGCCUCACAGAGCACGUGCAGACGGUAGUUUUUUAGCGCAGCCAGAGCGACGGCCAAGGAUGCAACGCUGGGAUUUGCAAUGGGGAUAAAACGAAGUGUCACCUUCAGGAGGACCUCUUCUGCUGUGGAAGCUGUCCCUUUUCUUUUCCUCUGCUAUCUGGUGUAUAAAAUGCGGAGCUCUAGAAGAUAAUGCCUCCUCUGGCAAAAAGUGUUUAAAUACCUCUGCUUCACCUAGUCACCUUGUCAGAGCACCUUCUCUACUUGCCCAUAGGAUUCUCUGCUAUGACAUUCACAGUGACACUAAAAGUAGUUUUGAUGAGUUGUGGAGACCCUGGUGCUGAGCCUCCUACCCAAAGGACCUUCUCACUACGGCAGGCCUGGAAAAGGCAGUCAGUGGCAUAGAGGGAAGAAAGAGGACAGAGGUUUCCACAGGGUGGAGGUCUUCUCUGGUGAUCAGUAAACAUUGGGAAAAGGAGACAAGCUGGAAGGCUAAGCCAAAACUCUUCAGAAAUUCCCAUUGACAGAGAGAGGACUCAGAGGCGGUUCCAGCUGCACACCUGACUUUUGGAUGGCUGAAGCUGGGUGAGAUGUAUCCCAGCCUCAGCAGAAGCUUCCUCCAUGUCACGCUGCAGUCCUGCGUUGCAUCCCACUGCUCAGUUGCACUGGCGUAGUGCAUCGAGCCACUCUGCGGGUGUUCCACAAACAGGGAAAAUUUGGAAGGAAAUUGGGAAAAUGGAGCAGCCAAGAGUUUCUAAAAGGUCUCGGUGAGUGAUGGUUUCUGUGCGGUCUGAAAACUGCCCUGCUCUCACUUAGGCAUUUGCAAGGCCAGGACAGUUUCAGGGGCACAGAACCCCAAAUUAAGCACAAUUUCAGUAACUGCUCUCAGAGACCAAGUCGCUGAUACUUAUGAACGUCUACGGUUCUCAUAGGCUUAAAGGAAGGUAAAAUACUAAUAAUAUUAAAAAAAAAAAUCUCAACUGCAGGAGAGAAAAAAAAAAACCAUCUUGCAGCUGCAUUUUAGCAAAUUACACUGGCUUAAGAAUUGCUCCUAAUAUUACCGUGAGGAAUACUACUGGAAACCAGCAAUAUACUUAAAAACAGGGAAAACUUGUAAUUCUUGCCAUUAUUACACACUUUUUUCAAUAUAUCAUUCCAAGGUUCCCUUGUCUUUGUUGAACUUCUCUCAUGUGCAGUAAUAUGGAGGACAACGAAAUACCCUCUGAAAAGAGAGAAGCCCUCAAAACUUUGCCUUAUUCCCUUUAGGUCAGACAGGGCAGGGAUGGAGAUAAGCACUGUAGCACAAGGCAAGGACAGCUUCAUACUGUCUGCAGUGCUGUGGCGUACGGGCAAAUCAUAAUCAAACACUGGUUGAAGGAGGCUUUGGAGAUGAUUCCUCCUGAAAAGAUGUCUUAAUCAACCGAUCGAGCAGAAUCGUGGUGAAACUCAUCAAGCCCUGUUCUGUCAGCUUAAAUGAACACACGUAUCAGUGACUGCACUUAAUGCUCAGCUGUGAUUCCACCCUGACCCAGUCAAGCUACUAAUUUACCCACAAAUAGCCACCUAAACCAGAAAAAGCUUCAGUUAAUGGGCACCAUUUCAAUAUGUUACAUUCAAUAGCAAGAGACUAAGACUAGUCUAAAAUUUGUGUUGCAUUAUUCUUUCAAUAUAUUUACCUGCCUUUCAGCACCUUUGUAUGUACUUUUUGCCUCUGAUUUAAUCCUUCCCUCUCUUUCCUUUCCUCUUCCUCUUUACCCCAUUCCUCUCCUGCUGUGAAGCAUGAGAGUCUGAAACAGUUAUUUUCAUUGAACUCCACAUUUCUGCCUCUUAACAGCAACUCAGCUCUAAUUUUUUAUUACAAAAAUCUGUACUCAGGCUCCUACAUGCAGCAUAUGUUACAUAAAUUUUAUUAACUAUAUUGCAAUAAUAUGUUUACUGUGAAGAAUAAAGCAAAUUAGCAUUCAGAUCGGUUACUAAAUAUAAUAUCCCCAACUUGAAAUGUUACACACACAUGAACUGUUACACACAUGAAGUGUUACACAUGCAACCGGGGUAUAUGUUCUUGUGAACCUAAUUUUAAUUUACAGGACUCUGGUAUAAUCUUUUAGUUGAUUAGCUAUUAAAAACACAACCAAAAUUAUUCCAAGUGUGUCUGCAUAGAAUAAUGUCCGGUUUUUAAAAUCUAAAUAAGGAAUGCCUUGAAAUUAAGACAUUUUUCGUAACUGCAAGUUAAGUGUUUAUUUAGAUUUUUUCUGAGAAGUACAGGUAGCUGAAAUGAUUUAAAGUACUGUAUGAUUCUCUGUCUCUGUUUCCUGAAGUAAUUCACCUUGCCUUCUGUAGCCACCUAUUCUGACAAAUAUUUACCACAGGCAGGCGUGUCCUCAAAGUCAGAAGGAACAAAACCCUUAUCCCCCAUGAAGGCAGUGGGAAGACAGUGGGAUGCACACUCUUCAUAACUCAAGAGUAGUGAUAUUAGACAUUAAAUGAAGGAAUUCAGAGCUGAAGAGGAACAUUGUGUAUUUUGAAAUUUCCACACACACGUGGCACACUUGAUCCUAAAGGGACAGUAUUCCUCUGUGUGGCCCAACACGGAUAUUGCGUUUUAAAUAACUAUACUAAAAUGUUAGAAAAUGUGACGGUUCGAUCUUUGUCUUGUUGUCUAACAUUGUAUUAUAAUUGAUUCACUCUCCUUUUAAAAAAUGGUUUUGGUUUCCCAGCAGUCAUGAAUUACGAGUAAGACGGACUAGAAAGCAAGCUCCAACUUUAGCAAUGUGAUAGUAUCUAACCUUCCUAUGACUUCCUUUACUUCUCUUGCUAAUCACUGAUACUUGAAGGUGAAAGAUGCACGUCAUGUCUAAUCCCAGAGGGACAUAUGAGUUUCAUAUCUUGAGGCUCAGUGUGAUCUUUUUUUUGCAUGCUAUGACUCUUUCUAGUUCUUGAUAAAGCUGUGCUUUGCAUUCUGUUUGGCUUCCAGUAUGCCGUUUGUGUGUUAUUUAUAAUGUGAUCUGCUGCAUUAUGGAAUACACUUUGCAUACUGCAGAGAUUCUUAAAAAAAUCAAUAAAUCUUUAGUCCUUUAAAAGGUUACACUGCCUUAGUCUGCAUUUGCCCCUUGAAAAAUAAGACCUUGGGCCAUGGCCAGGGCUUCUAGAACCUACUAUACUGCAAGUAGUAAAUAAUAAUUAUCUCAAGGCAAACACGGGUCUGACCAAGCCCAGGCUGUUCAGUUAUCCUUGUGCUGCCGCUUUGCUUCCUCUUACUGAACAAACCAUGAGGAGCAGGGUAACGCGAAAGGGGAAACAUUAAAAACCACAGGCUUAAUACACAGGUCUUAGCAAUGCUACUGCGGUCUUUGUCUUUCUUUGAACCCUUCCCCCCUCGCUCUUCUACAUAAAGCAAAUAGCAGUGACAUUCUGCAGCCGCUUCAAUAGCAGAACAAACUGCAGCUGCAGAUAUUUAGUAGAGAAUUUGUAUUCCUAGGCAUCAGCUAAAAAGAAGGGCUGCUCAGCGUCAUUCAAACAAAAAGCCCCAAAUCAUGUAGCAGAUUGCAUGUCUCCCCUUUUUCUCUCAAAAUGAUAUGUCUUUAUGCUUCCUCUAGAGUUAUUUCCCUCAUCUGCGAGCUUCCUGCAAUAAAAAGUUGUUAUUUUUUCCAUAUUUUGAUUUUUGUUCAGGCACUUGUUUAUUUUUUUUUUUAAUGCCAUGAGUACCACAUUAAUAAACCACUUCUUCCCGUUGCCUUGAUUGUUCUGGUCCACUACAAUGGAAAUAACAUUUGAGUAUCAAGGCAAGGCAGGGGCAGAAAGUACAGUAGGUAACACUGAAAAAAAUCUGUAUUUAGCCAGAGGUUAGUGAUUAGUGGUGAAAGACAUAGUUAGGGCCAAACUAGAGCUCUAGUAAUCUUCAGAAGAUGUGCUAGAGUUAGACUUUUUGCAAAUGUUUGUAGUUCUAUUUUAUUUAGAAGGUAGUUGGAUGAAAGGCGAUGUUGCUGAAGAAAAUGUGACCAGCCCCCAGGAGCCAGAAAUGAUCAUUCCAGCAAGGCUGGGAGUGCAAUUUCUUGUUGGCUCAGGAGCUGGGAUAAGCUUUAUGUGCUUAUCCAAACAUACCCUUUAAACUCUCUGUGUUCAGCCGUCCCAUUAGGUAAGCCAACUGGCUUAAUUAUCCCUGAAGAGCCAGGCGAGGUGUUGGCUGCCUAGCACAUAACACAAUGUUCUCACUGAAAUUCAUAGCUCUGAAUUGAUUUUAUAAACGGCAGCUCUUUAAAAGGAAUCACGCAAGUGGGAUUUUGCCUGUGCAGGUCGCAAAAAGGUACAGAUACCAGAGCCUGCACUUACUCGCAGCUCCUUUUGGGACUGCUGCUGAGCUCCAGCUCUAGCGUAACCACCUUACCAACAUCCAUGCAGGGCAAUAACGCUGCACUGUGAUUCAAUACCUUGUCCUGUCGAGGACUUGGUGGCCUUCAGGUGCAGGGAAAAGAGUGAGGUCACUCUAAUAUUGUCAACCAAAGUGGUGUCUUUUACUGGCAUUAAAAAGUUUUAUGGAAGUCUGGGAACUGUUAGAAUGGGAAAAUGUCAUGGAAGGAACAGAUUUUUCUUUCAUUUACUUUGCGCACCAAAUUAUAGUUUGCGUGCACACUUAAUGUCUUGCGCCAGCACAAGCUCUGGUGGGUAUGCAAAGAAAAAGAUGUGCCUACUCAGAAGUCUUUCCCUGAAUGGUUAAUGUUCAUCUAACAAAAGGGAAGCAAAACAAAAGAUGUGAAACGGUCUUUCAAAUUCAUUGCUAUGCAGUGCCCUUUUGGUUCUGAAAGUCUCCUCGAGCAGUUCAGAGCACCAGCAGUUUCUGUGCUUCCCCUGUCCUUGUGCAGGGGGGAGCUACCUCCGUCUUCCACCUGGGGCCCUGUAAUAGUUUGUCUUCUCAGAGUUUGCAUAUUGAUCUGUCGGGUCUGGUUAUGAGCUCCGCAGAGCAAGGACCUCCUGGGAAGAGGGAUGUGCAUGUUGGGUGCUGCUGUAGGUAAUAAAUAGAGGGAACAUAACUAAAAAAGCCUUUCUGUGUCUUCACUACUGGUUUCUCAGAGGUAUUUUUUUCCCCUUCAUCUUCAGCGGAGGUACCAUUUGGGUUUCAGAACCAUGUAUUUUGGAGUCCCCAGCUGCUGGAGAGAGAAGCCAGCUGCUGCCCACCAGCGGGCUGGUCGUACCCACUUGCUGUUGUGAACAUCAGGUUUUUUCCACUCUGUGGAAAUACCCUGAAAUAUUUCAGCCCCUAAACCACCCCUGAAAGCCCCUUCCACAGGUCCUGCCUCCUGGCUAGCAUUUCCAGGCAGCAGAGUCUGUGCCUGGUGCUUCCCUCCCGAGCAGCAGGGCU
Non-coding RNA from Phalacrocorax carbo (great cormorant), 6070 nucleotides. The record is from RefSeq and is a predicted model, not a curated record. Lineage: Eukaryota; Metazoa; Chordata; Aves; Suliformes; Phalacrocoracidae.